UUUUGGUCGACGAAGGCAUCACAGUUGCCGAACUCUGGUCAUCACUGGUGCAGAUUCGUAAUCACAAGAUCCCACCCGAACAUAUAUAUUCAUUCAUCUACCAGUGGCAUCGUGACAUAAAAUAUGCUCAUCUGAUGUUGAACGACUCACCAAUUUUGACUCUACUGACGUACCGGCUUACUGAAUCGUCAGCGAUACCGUCAUCAUCAACUGAAUCGUCGUCUAAUUUCCAAUGGCCCAGCAAGAAAAACCGGCCAAUCAAUACCGACGAGUACAUUUUAUAGCAAAUCUAACUGUGAUACAACAACGAAACAGGAAACGUCGCCAGAUAAGUCGUCACAUGAGGCGGACCUGUAUCGAAAAUCAAAAUCGUCUCUGUUGGAUCCGGCUGAUCGCGAGUACUAUCAAAAGGAGUUUA
Long non-coding RNA from Bradysia coprophila, 418 nucleotides. Lineage: Eukaryota; Metazoa; Arthropoda; Insecta; Diptera; Sciaridae. The record is from RefSeq and is a predicted model, not a curated record.